UACAGAGGUCCCAAGCGUUGUUCGGAAUCACUGGGCUUAAAGGGCGCGUAGGCGGGUUCCCAAGUCGGUGGUGAAAUCUUUCGGCCCAACCGGAAAACAGCCGCCGAUACUGGGAGUCUUGAGGGAGGUAGGGGUCGAUGGAACUUCCGGUGGAGCGGUGAAAUGCGUAGAUAUCGGAAGGAACGCCGGUGGCGAAAGCGAUCGACUGGACCUUUUCUGACGCUGAGGCGCGAAAGCCAGGGGAGCAAACGGG
This 253-nucleotide ribosomal RNA is filed under the name uncultured bacterium. RNAcentral's name for it is "partial 16S ribosomal RNA". It matches the Rfam family "Bacterial small subunit ribosomal RNA", at positions 524 to 776 of the family's 1533-position model. The record is from RNAcentral.